Molecule: ribosomal RNA, 590 nt
Filed under: uncultured Thermoprotei archaeon
Lineage: Archaea; Thermoproteati; Thermoproteota; Thermoprotei
Description: bacterial SSU rRNA
Rfam family: Archaeal small subunit ribosomal RNA
Source: RNAcentral
CCCCGUAGUCCCAGCUGUAAACGAUGCGGGCUAGGUGUUGGGCGGACUUCGAGUCCGCCCAGUGCCGUAGGGAAACCAUUAAGCCCGCCGCCUGGGGAGUACGGCCGCAAGGCUGAAACUUAGAGGAAUUGGCGGGGGAGCACCACAAGGGGUGAAUGCUGCGGUUUAAUUGGAGUCAACGCCGGGAACCUUACCGGGGGCGACAGCAGGAUGACGGCCAGGCUGACGACCUUGCCAGACGCGCUGAGAGGAGGUACAUCGCCGUCGCCAGUUCGUGCCGUGAGGUGUCCGGUUAAGUUCGGCAACGAACGAGACCCCCACCCCCAGUUGCUACCGCACCCCUGCGGGGGUACGGGCACUCUGGGGGGACUGCCGGCGCUGAGCCGGAGGAAGGAGGGGGCCACGGCAGGUCAGCAUGCCCCGAAACCCCCGGGCCACACGCGGCAUGCAAUGGUGGGGACAAUGGGUUCCGACCCCGAAAGGGGGAGGCAAUCCCAUAAACCCCACCUCAGUUGGGAUUGAGGGCUGCAACUCGCCCUCACGAACAUGGAAUCCCUAGUAACCGCGCGUCACCAUCGCGCGGUGAUACG